RNAcentral lists this ribosomal RNA (261 nucleotides) under uncultured prokaryote. RNAcentral's name for it is "partial 16S ribosomal RNA". It matches the Rfam family "Bacterial small subunit ribosomal RNA", at positions 524 to 784 of the family's 1533-position model. The record is from RNAcentral.
UACGGAGGAUCCGAGCGUUAUCCGGAUUUAUUGGGUUUAAAGGGUGCGCAGGCGGGAGAUUAAGUCGGCGGUGAAAUUUUGCAGCUUAACUGUAAAAUUGCCGUUGAAACUGCCGGUCUUGAGUGCAAAUGAGGUAGGCGGAAUGCGUCGUGUAGCGGUGAAAUGCUUAGAGAUCACACAGAAUAUCGAUUGCGAAGGCAGCUCACAAGGCCAAGAUUGACGCUGAGGCACGAAAGUGUGGGGAUCAAACAGGAUUAGAUA